RNAcentral lists this ribosomal RNA (712 nucleotides) under uncultured Actinomycetes bacterium. Its description in RNAcentral is "bacterial SSU rRNA". It matches the Rfam family "Bacterial small subunit ribosomal RNA", at positions 120 to 844 of the family's 1533-position model. Lineage: Bacteria; Bacillati; Actinomycetota; Actinomycetes. The record is from RNAcentral.
AAGAAUCUGCCCUCCACUUUGGGAUAACUCCGGGAAACCGGGGCUAAUACCGAAUAUUGAAACAUAAGUGGCAUCACUGAGUUUUGAAAGAAUUUCGGUGGAGGAUGACUUCGCGGCCUAUCAGCUUGUUGGUGAGGUAAUGGCUCACCAAGGCUACGACGGGUAUCCGGCCUGAGAGGGCGACCGGACACACUGGGACUGAGACACGGCCCAGACUCCUACGGGAGGCAGCAGUGGGGAAUAUUGGGCAAUGGACGCAAGUCUGACCCAGCGACGCCGCGUGCGGGAUGAAGGCCUUCGGGUUGUAAACCGCUUUCAGCAGGGAAGAAGCGAAAGUGACGGUACCUGCAAAAGAAGCACCGGCUAACUAUGUGCCAGCAGCCGCGGUAAUACAUAGGGUGCAAGCGUUGUCCGGAAUUAUUGGGCGUAAAGAGCUCGUAGGUGGUUCGUUACGUCGGAUGUGAAAAUCUGGGGCUCAACCCCAGACCUGCAUUCGAUACGGGCGAGCUAGAGUUUGGUAGGGGAGACUGGAAUUCCUGGUGUAGCGGUGGAAUGCGCAGAUAUCAGGAGGAACACCAAUGGCGAAGGCAGGUCUCUGGGCCAAUACUGACACUGAGGAGCGAAAGCGUGGGGAGCGAACAGGAUUAGAUACCCUGGUAGUCCACGCCGUAAACGGUGGGCGCUAGUUGUGGGGACCUUCCACGGUCUCUGC